CAUUUUGGAGUGUUUUAUCCAGGCUAAUUUGUUUCUCGAUUGAUAGUGGAGCUAAAGGAAAUAUGGGUAACACAAGCAGUGACUCAAAACCAAGUAGUCAGUCUGAUGCAAAAGAGCUUAAUGCGCCCUCUGAACAAAAAGUUAUAACAAUGAAAGAUUACAUUCUACAGAAAGCUAAGCCAUUUACCAACGAUUGGCCUAUGUACAAUGAUCCCACCAUCUGGGGCGUACUAACUGCUAUCACCGAAAGUGCAAUUAAUGGCAGAAAAUACCAGGGAUGCCAGGGACACUGUAUUAUCUUGAAGAUGGCUGAGCAUUGCAUUGGCCUAGUAUUGAAGGAAAUGUUCAAAUUUCCAUAGGAGAUGGUCAACGAAGACUAUGGAAUAUAUCUUAGCAGAGUUGAUGGUGAAGAAGCAAAGCAUCUCGGGAGCUAUUAUCCACCUGUCUUCUUGUGCGACACUAGCGCUUGUGACACAUAUGUCAAUUGGCAAAAGUUGACCAAAGGAGAACCUGUUCGAAUUUAUCACGGAGAUAUCAUAUCUUUUUUUUAAAGCUCUUGAUCAUGGUAAUAUAAGUACUUCUUCUCCUCCACCAAAAAACAUAAAGGAAAAAAAAAUGUUUUCCUUGGCAGAACUUAUUUCCUCUUCAUUGUUGAGGUUUUAACUUCUAAUGCUACAACUGUUGAUCAAUUUUUCUGCUUCUAUUUUAAUUGAGUGGCAUUUUGAUGGAUUAUUGUGUGUGUUUGGGGUGAGCGGUAGCGGACUCAUAUCAUCCCCUUUCUUUGCCUAGUUCUUUUUAUUUUCCUUUUUUACCUUGACGUCAAAUCAAGUUAUAUUUCGUUUAUGUCAUUUGGCAUCUAUUUCUAUUGUUCAGUGUAUGAUAGUAAUAUUAAAAUGUUUUCUUAUAUGAAUCUAAUGAGUUUUGACCAUCAAAAUGAGAAAGAAUUUCAUAUAUGAAUAGCCAUUUCAAAACACAAUAUCUUGUUAGAACAUAUUGUUCACUAAUAUCCCUGUCGAUGUAACAUUACAGAAGGUUGGGGAUUAUUUCAAAACCAAGUCGUAACAACUUGUUGGUGGAAUGUACAUCUCAUACAGUCUUGUCUGUGGUUAUACGCACAACUUGUGAUUUCGAAAAGAAAAGCGAUUAGAUAUUGUGGUUAUUGUUAUGAUCUUGAAGCUGUUAAGAGUUUAUAUAUCUCAUGUUAAGAUAAUAGAAAAUAACUUUUGAUAUCUUUGAUGUGUUUCCAGUUGAUGCAGUUGGAUAUGAAUAUCAAAUAGCAAGUAGGUCCGGUCCUUGGCAAGAAGGUCCCGUAGCAACAAGCCAUGACCAAUUUGAAAUAGUGCUCAAGAAAUUUGCGGAGAUGAAGAAAUUAUUGUGUGUAAAAGAGCGUGCAGAGCUCAAGACUGAACUUAGGACCGAACUCAAGGCUGAAGUAAGGACUGAAAUCAAGGAUGAAAUCAUGGCUGAACUCUCAAGCACAAACUCAGGUUAAAGCCUUGAUGGCUGUAUAUGUUAAUGCUAGAGCUAUUUUAUGCUUAAAUUAUAAGAUGCUGAAUGUGAUUACUAAAUAAAGUUGCAUUUCAGAACCUCAUAAGAGUUGGCUUGUCAAUUAGCAAAUUGACUCCCUAGUUGAAUUUGCUAUGGUGUGCGCUCUUCUUAAAUAAUUAAGAGUAUUGACUCUAAACCUGAAUUUGUCGGGCCGGGCCAUGACAUACAAUGUUGUAAAUGUAGGUAAAAAGUGUGUGCGCAA
Molecule: long non-coding RNA, 1750 nt
Organism: Tripterygium wilfordii
Lineage: Eukaryota; Viridiplantae; Streptophyta; Magnoliopsida; Celastrales; Celastraceae
Exons: 3
Source: RefSeq, a predicted model, not a curated record